RNAcentral lists this ribosomal RNA (465 nucleotides) under uncultured bacterium. Its description in RNAcentral is "bacterial SSU rRNA". It matches the Rfam family "Bacterial small subunit ribosomal RNA", at positions 335 to 792 of the family's 1533-position model. The record is from RNAcentral.
ACUCCUACGGGAGGCAGCAGUAGGGAAUCUUCCACAAUGGACGAAAGUCUGAUGGAGCAACGCCGCGUGAGUGAAGAAGGGUUUCGGCUCGUAAAACUCUGUUGUUAAAGAAGAACAUAUCUGAGAGUAACUGUUCAGGUAUUGACGGUAUUUAACCAGAAAGCCACGGCUAACUACGUGCCAGCAGCCGCGGUAAUACGUAGGUGGCAAGCGUUGUCCGGAUUUAUUGGGGCGUAAAGCGAGCGCAGGCGGUUUUUAAGUCUGAUGUGAAAGCCUUCGGCUCAACCGAAGAAGUGCAUCGGAAACUGGGAAACUUGAGUGCAGAAGAGGACAGUGGAACUCCAUGUGUAGCGGUGGAAUGCGUAGAUAUAUGGAAGAACACCAGUGGCGAAGGCGGCUACCUGGUCUGCAACUGACGCUGAGACUCGAAAGCAUGGGUAGCGAACAGGAUUAGAUACCCUGGUA